UCGAGCGAGAAGACGUAGCAAUACGUUUGUAAAGCGGCGAACGGGUGAGGAAUACAUGGGUAACCUACCCUCGAGUGGGGAAUAACUAGCCGAAAGGUUAGCUAAUACCGCAUACGACUCUCGGUCUGCGGAUCGGGAGAGAAAGCGAUACCGUGGGUAUCGCGCUCUUGGAUGGGCUCAUGUCCUAUCAGCUUGUUGGUGAGGUAAUGGCUCACCAAGGCUUCGACGGGUAGCUGGUCUGAGAGGACGAUCAGCCACACUGGCACUGCGACACGGGCCAGACUCCUACGGGAGGCAGCAGUAAGGAAUAUUGCGCAAUGGGCGACAGCCUGACGCAGCGACGCCGCGUGGGGGAUGAAGGUCUUCGGAUUGUAAACCCCUUUCGGCAGGGAAGAUGGAACGGGUAACCGUUCGGACGGUACCUGCAGAAGCAGCCACGGCUAACUUCGUGCCAGCAGCCGCGGUAAUACGAAGGUGGCAAGCGUUGUUCGGAUUUACUGGGCGUACAGGGAGCGUAGGCGGUUGGGUAAGCCCUCCGUGAAAUCUCCGGGCCUAACCCGGAAAGGGCGGAGGGGACUGCUCGGCUAGAGGAUGGGAGAGGAGCGCGGAAUUCCCGGUGUAGCGGUGAAAUGCGUAGAGAUCGGGAGGAAGGCCGGUGGCGAAGGCGGCGCUCUGGAACAUUUCUGACGCUGAGGCUCGAAAGCGUGGGGAGCAAACAGGAUUAGAUACCCUGGUAGUCCACGCCUUAAACGAUGGAUACUAAGUGUCGGCGGGUUACCGCCGGUGCCGCAGCUAACGCAGUAAGUAUCCCGCCUGGGAAGUACGGCCGCAA
RNAcentral lists this ribosomal RNA (832 nucleotides) under uncultured Nitrospira sp. RNAcentral's name for it is "bacterial SSU rRNA". It matches the Rfam family "Bacterial small subunit ribosomal RNA", at positions 62 to 891 of the family's 1533-position model. Lineage: Bacteria; Pseudomonadati; Nitrospirota; Nitrospiria; Nitrospirales; Nitrospiraceae. The record is from RNAcentral.